Molecule: ribosomal RNA, 282 nt
Filed under: uncultured bacterium
Lineage: Bacteria
Description: partial 16S ribosomal RNA
Rfam family: Bacterial small subunit ribosomal RNA
Source: RNAcentral
UACAGAGGGUGCUAGCGUUGUUCGGAAUUAUUGGGCGUAAAGGGCGCGUAGGCGCCCUGUGUGUCGGGUGUGAAAGCCCACCUCUUAAAGGUGGAAUUGCAUUCGAAACUACAGGGCUGGAGUGUCGGAGAGGAUGGCGGAAUUCCUGGUGUAGAGGUGAAAUUCGUAGAUAUCAGGAGGAACACCGGUGGCGAAGGCGGCCAUCUGGACGACAACUGACGCUGAGGCGCGAAAGCGUGGGAUCAACAGGAUUAAGAUACCCUGGUACAGCUCCGAGUCAGC